AAUCACUUCAAUUUAGCCUAAAAUACCUGCACUGAUACUUGAACACAGUCAUUGAUAUGACAUUUGGAUAUGGCUUUAUAAGAAGAAAUUCUUAGAUAUCUAGUGGGAUCCGAUGCUUACACAUGCAACCCCACCCGAACACAAACCCAUGUCAAUGCACAAAUGGAAACCUGGUCAGGAUAUGGUAGCAGCUUGUAUCUGUUGGGCAUUGUGGUGGGAUAGUAAUGCAAGAAGGUUCGGUAGUAAGAAGCAAAGAGGCCUGCAGCUAAUUAGAAGAGUAAUGAAGUGGUAAAGAGUGGUUUAGAGCUGCUUCAGCUCAUAAGCAACACAGUAUGUAGGACCUUUAAGAGACUGAGUUCGUUUUUAUAAUCGAUUUAGUUUUUUUAUGUUGGAUCGGUCCUGUAUUCCUUAUGGUUUCUGUUAGGAUGCAUUGCCAGGAGCUGUUGUUCAGGACCUGCGGUUGCCUCGGGCUGUGUUGUUUUUUAUUACUUUCAUUGUCUCAGUGAAAUUUUUUUAGGAUCCUUGAGCCUAACUUUUCCUCAAAAAACAAAAAACAGAACUCCAAAUAGGACUCGUUCCAAAAGGUUUUUCUUUUUGAUGUGGAGAUGCAUAAUAAAAUUCUAGGUGUUUCAAAAGGUUUUAGGAUCUCGGAGAAUCUGGAUGGCAAGUAAAACCUACCGCAAGGAGGCAAAACAUGAUCAAAUGGUGCUUAUUGCAAGGGGGUUCUUUGAUGCAAAUGAGUGAAGUAGCAUUGACAAGACUUAUGUCAUGUAGGCA
This 777-nucleotide long non-coding RNA is filed under the name Elaeis guineensis (African oil palm). RNAcentral's name for it is "long non-coding RNA (EGUI_LNC073896)". The record is from RNAcentral. Lineage: Eukaryota; Viridiplantae; Streptophyta; Magnoliopsida; Arecales; Arecaceae.